RNAcentral lists this ribosomal RNA (1372 nucleotides) under uncultured bacterium. Its description in RNAcentral is "bacterial SSU rRNA". It matches the Rfam family "Bacterial small subunit ribosomal RNA", at positions 28 to 1381 of the family's 1533-position model. The record is from RNAcentral.
GAUGAACGCUGGCGGCGUGCCUAAUACAUGCAAGUCGAGCGAACGGACGAGAAGCUUGCUUCUCUGAUGUUAGCGGCGGGCGGGUGAGUAACACGUGGAUAACCUACCUAUAAGACUGGGAUAACUUCGGGAAACCGGAGCUAAUACCGGAUAAUAUUUUGAACCGCAUGGUUCAAAAGUGAAAGACGGUCUUGCUGUCACUUAUAGAUGGAUCCGCGCUGCAUUAGCUAGUUGGUAAGGUAACGGCUUACCAAGGCAACGAUGCAUAGCCGACCUGAGAGGGUGAUCGGCCACACUGGAACUGAGACACGGUCCAGACUCCUACGGGAGGCAGCAGUAGGGAAUCUUCCGCAAUGGGCGAAAGCCUGACGGAGCAACGCCGCGUGAGUGAUGAAGGUCUUCGGAUCGUAAAACUCUGUUAUUAGGGAAGAACAUAUGUGUAAGUAACUGUGCACAUCUUGACGGUACCUAAUCAGAAAGCCACGGCUAACUACGUGCCAGCAGCCGCGGUAAUACGUAGGUGGCAAGCGUUAUCCGGAAUUAUUGGGCGUAAAAGCGCGCGUAGGCGGUUUUUUAAGUCUGAUGUGAAGCCCACGGCUCAACCGUGGAGGGUCAUUGGAAACUGGAAAACUUGAGUGCAGAAGAGGAAAGUGGAAUUCCAUGUGUAGCGGUGAAAUGCGCAGAGAUAUGGAGGAACACCAGUGGCGAAGGCGACUUUCUGGUCUGUAACUGACGCUGAUGUGCGAAAGCGUGGGGAUCAAACAGGAUUAGAUACCCUGGUAGUCCACGCCGUAAACGAUGAGUGCUAAGUGUUAGGGGGUUUCCGCCCCUUAGUGCUGCAGCUAACGCAUUAAGCACUCCGCCUGGGGAGUACGACCGCAAGGUUGAAACUCAAAGGAAUUGACGGGGACCCGCACAAGCGGUGGAGCAUGUGGUUUAAUUCGAAGCAACGCGAAGAACCUUACCAAAUCUUGACAUCCUUUGACAACUCUAGAGAUAGAGCCUUCCUCUUCGGGGGACAAAGUGACAGGUGGUGCAUGGUUGUCGUCAGCUCGUGUCGUGAGAUGUUGGGUUAAGUCCCGCAACGAGCGCAACCCUUAAGCUUAGUUGCCAUCAUUAAGUUGGGCACUCUAAGUUGACUGCCGGUGACAAACCGGAGGAAGGUGGGGAUGACGUCAAAUCAUCAUGCCCCUUAUGAUUUGGGCUACACACGUGCUACAAUGGACAAUACAAAGGGCAGCGAAACCGCGAGGUCAAGCAAAUCCCAUAAAGUUGUUCUCAGUUCGGAUUGUAGUCUGCAACUCGACUACAUGAAGCUGGAAUCGCUAGUAAUCGUAGAUCAGCAUGCUACGGUGAAUACGUUCCCGGGUCU